AGAUGAAAUUGGGAGAGAGGAAAGGGAGGCGCAGGUCUGAGCUGAUUUCCCUCUGAAAUCGAGAGAGAUCAUGGAAGAAAAGAAGAUAACUAUGUUGUUUACAAUCAGAGAGAAUUUGGGGUUUCAUUGAAGAUUUGAGCUUGUAAAAGAUGGAAAUAGGGUUUUAACUUUUCUGUUGCUGGGAAUUGUCUGAGUAAUGAUUGUUGAAGAAGCAGUCGAUGUGAUGGGGGUUCUUGAGAUACAAAUCGAAGAAGAGGUGAAUUGUUGUGAGAAGAGAUUUACAGUGAAGAGAAGAUGAUGAUGCUCAUGGCGAGAAAUUGAGAAGAAAAUGAAAUCAAAGAGAUUUGGGUUUGGGUUAAUUUGAGAAAUCAGAGAAGAGCUCAGAUCUGUGGUUAGUAAAUCUGGUGGAGUAAUUUGAGAAGAAAUAAAAAGGGUUUUUAGCUGAGCAGUUAAUGGAGAGGUUUGAUUUGAGAAAUUAAUGGAUGGGUUUGUUUCUGGAACUGAUUGAAGUUAGAAAUGGAUAUAUAAUGGGUCUGAAAUUACUAUUAGGGUUCUUGAAGGAGGAUGAACUGUGUUGGCAGAGGAGAUGGUAUUGUUUCAGAUGUGUUGGUCAGCUGCAGAGAAUGAGAGCUAACUGAUGCUUGUGGUUGCAGCUGUUAAAUUCAAGGGUUGUGAAAGCUGAGUAGUAAGGUGUUUUUAGUGACAGUGAGCUGGAAUUUGAGUCUGCAAUGGAAAUAUGAUGGUGCAGUUACAGCUGGUGAAUGCAAUUGUAGUGGUGCUUGAGAAGAGAAGGAGAAGGAGUCUAAGUUUGAAUGAAUGUGACUGUGCUGGUUAGAUGGGAUAUUUGAGAUUGUAGGGGUUGAAAAGAAGCUGUUUGUGACUUGGUUUGGUGCAAUGUAUGUGCUGGUCAUACUUAGAAGAAGAGAUGGAUAUGCAGGUGGCAUCUGGUGUUGGCUGCCAUAGGAAAUUGAUGGCAAUGGUGGAGACUCAGGUGCAGGUGCAAGGCAAGUGAUGUUGCUGUUGCUGUCAGUAAGAGAAACAGUUGUUAAUGAGCUGCAGAAUGGAAGAUACAGCUGAAAAUGGAAGCUACAACCAAUUGAUUGAAGGUUUGAGCUGUGAGAAUGCCUGAAUUGCACUAGAUGAAUGAUUAGGAAUAUGUAUAUGAAUGAAAUGUGCAGGGAUUGAACUGAGAUGGAGAAUUGAAGACAAGGUGAUGCUAUGUCAUGGAAGAAGAGAAUUUGGUCAUGGUCUGGGAGUGUGAAGAUCUGGUUGCUGUCGAGGAUAAACUCAGGUGGAAUAAAAUUACAAGGCUGAGAUGGCUUUUGUUUGUCUGCAAUGGGGUGGUUUUGCUGGUGGUGGUCUGAGAUGUGGUUAUGAGAUGUUGUUGUUGCCAUUGUGAGCAGGAAUCCACAAAGAGAGUUGAGAAGGAGCUGAGUCUUUGGUGGUUUGAUAAGGUUGCAGCUGAAAUGGAAUUGUUAUGCAGCUGGGUAUAAAUCUUGUUGUAAUUUGUGUUGCCGCAACUACGUAUUGUUGCAGUUAAAGAGGAGCUGAAACUGGUGGUGAUUGUGCUGAAUUAACAAACAUGAGUCUUGCUGAGAAGAUUGAGAUGAGUUAGCUCUGGCUUGUACUGCAAUAAACGAGAUGGCUGUGCAAGAAGGUUUGAGCAAAGUGCAGAGUGAUGCACCACAAUGGCGCAUCAGUGAUUGAGGCCUGUGCAAUGGCCUUGGCCAGAACCAACUCUGUUAAGUCAGGUGGAUUACUCAGACCUGACUCAUCUGACUGGUUCCAACUGAGUUGACCCGAUUGACUGACUCAGUGAUCUUGACUGAGUUGACCCAGUUGACUGGUGACCGGUUUGACUUUGCCGGUCACCUGAGCUCUUUUCCGGUGACUUCUCCGACCAUUUUACCAGUUCCCGACGACCUCUUUUGGGACAUAUUUCUACAUGGGUAUUUUCACAUAUGAACUUGGUGGACCACAUAGGAUAUGGGCCUUUGGAGGAUUGACCUAGUUUUGGAAAGAUGAAAAGCUACAAAAGGAAAAAGUUUCUACUUCUUUUGGAGGACGUAUUUUUUCUACUUGGAAUUUUGGAGAGCGGCGACUAGGAUUUGCUUUCGUUUAUUUUUCAUCUUCUUCAUUUCAUUUUUGAUUAUGAUUAUGAUAAACUCAAAGGCUACGAGUAACUAAAUACUAUUAUUGGUUAUGGGAUAAAGUGGAUUUCACAAAUGAUAUUUGAUUCAAUGAAUUAGUUUUGUCUCAA
Long non-coding RNA from Papaver somniferum (opium poppy), 2260 nucleotides. RefSeq lists it as uncharacterized. The transcript is spliced from 2 exons. The record is from RefSeq and is a predicted model, not a curated record. Lineage: Eukaryota; Viridiplantae; Streptophyta; Magnoliopsida; Ranunculales; Papaveraceae.